GGGAGCCCUGAGGAUGAGGACACAAGAAGGAAAAAAGAAGAGAAUAUAAAAGGACUGAACAAGAGGGAAUGAUUAUAGAGUAGUUGGCACUGGGCAAGAAAUGGGAGAGGAAAAUUAAAGCCUUCAAAAGAGCAGGAGUAAGUCUGCAGCUUCCCUUUUCACCUCCAGUACUGACUUCAAAGGGGCUUGCCUGUACCAGAGUCCUCUUUAUCAGAAAUAGAAAAAGCAUAGCUCUUCUUCCUUUCAAUUCUGUUCCAUCACCCCUCAUUACCUCUCUCCUGCUCUCUUCUCAUAGUCUCUCAACUAGUGUCUCCCCCCUCCAAUUUAUCAUGCACACUGCUGAGAGACUUAUUUUCUUAAAGUGUAUCUCAGAUCAUGGCACUGCCCCGCUCAAAAAUCUCCAAUAGUUCCCUAUUACCAAUGAAAUAAAAUGGAAACUCUUUAACUAGGACAUUUAGUGGGCUUCAUGAUUUGACCUCUUUCUAGCUAUUCCUUCUAAUAUUUUCCCAGUCCCAGUUUGGCCCACACUGUGGCCAAACUGGACCACUUGCCAUUCCUUGAAAACAUUCUUUGCUCUCCAGUCUCUGCAUCUUUGUUCUGCCUGUUUUCUCUGCUAUUAUGAGUCCUCAUCUUCCAUAUUUGGAUAUUGAGAACCACAGUGUAAUGCAUCAGUUUUCAAGUAAUUUUUUUUUUUAUCUCAGAACUAUAUAUAGGAGGGGAGAAGGGUGGGAAGGAGGCGGAAAAUAGAAUGAGACCGAUUUACGGUCAUAGCUAAUGUGAGAAUUUGUUUCUCUUAGAUAAGCAGAUUUGUUAUAAUUUAUUACAUAUUUAUAACAAAUCAUAUGGAAAAAUAAAAUAAAUGGUAACUCAAAAAAAGUAUAGAGGAUGCCAAGGAACUUUUGUUAUGUGUGUGAUAUCUGCUGAUUAUUUUUUGUCAUUCAAUUUUUUUCAGUCAUGUUUGACUCUCUGAGACCCCAUUUAGGGAUUUCUUGGCAAAGAUAGUGGGGUGGUUUGCCAUUUCCUUCUUCUGAAGCAAAGAGUUAAGUGACUUGUCCAAGAUCAUAGACUUGUAGUUUGUAGUGCCUCAGGCCAGAUUUGAACUCAGGUCUUCCUGAUUCCGGGCCCAGCACUCUAUCCACUGUGCCAACUCGCUUCCCCAAGCACUGCAAUUAUAAAGACUAAGUGAAAUAAUCCCUUGACUUUAAGAAGAUUACACAUUGUGUAAUUGUGUCAGAGAAGGAAAGACAACAUGUGUAUGUAUAUAUAACAUGCACACAUAAGACAUCCCAACAUGUAUAUAUAUGUGUGUGUGUGUGUGUGUGUAUCUAUACAUAUAAAGGAUAAAAUGCAAAAUGAAUAAAGUAGUUUAUGGAGGGUAUAGAGCAUAUAUAUGGUGAACCUUUUAGAGAUCAAGUGCCAAAACUGCAAUCCUCAUGCUGCGUGUGAGCUACCUCCUUACCGGGGAGGGACAAAGCUCUCCCAUGGGGCUGCUGGGUAUCGAGAUGGGUCAUGUGAGAAAUGUCCUCAGUCACAUGUGGCAAGGGGGAAGGGAGCAGCCCCCUCCGGCACAUGUGCCAUAGGUUUGCCAACAUGGGUACAGGGGAAAGGAUAACUGAACCUGGAGUCAGGAUACCUGGUUUAAUCACUAACUGAUACUUCUUACCUGUGUGUUCUCCAUUAGUCUCUCUGCACCUUAGUUUCCUUAUCUGUAAAAUGGAGACAAUAAUAUCUUUCAUCUCUAUCUCAUAGGCUUGCUUUGAGGAUUAAAUGAUCGUAUUUAUAAAUGCAAAUACUUUUUUUGGUGUUUCAAUGAAGUGUUUCUUUCAAUAAAAGACACUGUACCAAUGAUGGCAUCAGGGCUUGUCCCCUAUGAAGCCUCAGUUUGAUUCCUAAAAUGUUUUGGCAGCUUGGCAGGCUUUUAUCCUGUUUCAGCAGUUUAGAAAAUGUUUUGCUUUAGUUCUGGUGUGACCCGCUUCUUUAGGAUUGAGAUUCGGGUUCAGUCUGGUGUUCAGAAAGUUAAUUAAGUGAUUGCUUUGGAUUCACAGUUUGGUGAACCACGUUUGAUUUCUUCUUUAGGAAAACUUGCUUGGCUUAGAAUUCGGUUAUUGGGCCAAUGAGUUGCCUGAUCCCUCUGAAGUCAUUGCAUGUUGUCACCAAACAGUGACAAAGUGAAGGGAGGAGAUUGGCCAUAGGGUGCCAGAAGCCAAUGGGGUUCCUCAUGAAGUUAAGGGACCAGAGAACAGCUGAGCUUGGGCUGAUUCUAAGGAAAGGAGAGAUGCUUGCUGGCCCGGCAGGGGACUUUGUGGCUUUAUUAGGGAGCAGGACACAUUUGAUGGUUGUUGUCAGAGGGGUGCGAGCCAGAGAGAGGAGGGAGAACUAGGAACUGCACUUAGCUCCUACGUACACAUUCAGUGGGAAGCAGGGAAAGAAGCCAGAUGACUGGAUCUCAACAGGAAAAAGCACAAAUUGUUGGCCAGCACUACUUCACUUUCAUUUGGCAUUUGAAUUUACAGAUUGUACCACUUUCUUCCUACUCAUCCUCUGAAGUGUCUAUGACAUGAUGAGGACGCCAGAGAAAACCCUCAUGUGGCAAUUGGCAAGGAGAAGCGGCUUUCCCUUUGCCUCUAAGGUGGGUGGCACGAGAGCCACUGCCCUGCUUGACAGGUGCCAGCCAUCCCAGGGAAGGGACCAAGGUCUGAGUGGGCACGGGGGACCUUUCCACAUUUAGGGGGAAGCUGCUGAGGUGAGGAGAAGCCACUCUCUAGGGGCUGCCUCUUUCGAGGCAGACAGACCUCGGCUGUUUUUCUUUCUUUUUCCAUGGUCCAUGGAUACUUCUUUGAAAAGUAUUGCCAUCUCUUCUGUCGUUCUUAGCCUCUCCUCCCCUCUCCUGUGGCCAGUGUCCACAGGCACACCAAGUUUCAUCUUUUCUUUAAGAGAACUUGUUUGCUUUACUAUGAAGUUAUUUGGCCAAUCAGUUCAGCAUGUCCUGAAGUGACUGGGUAUUGUCUCCAAGCUCAUCAUUCCUUGACAAAGUGAAGCAAGGGGAUAGGUCACAGGGCUGCGAGAAACUCAAAGGAUCCCCACCCCAUGCCCCCUCUCCCAGACUCUCCCUUGUCGUGGAAAGGAACAGCCAGGCAAAACAAAAGGAAUGCUUGGACCAUCUCUGGGAACACAGGCUUCAUGUGACACUCAUAACCCUCUACCUUCUCUGCCACAGGGGCGAACCGUGCCUUUUUACCUUCACACCUCUGAAGACAGGACAGGUCACCGCUUUGAUCGCAUUCUGAAGUCUUUCAGCAUUAUUUUCCUUUGCAAUAGUGUGCCCAUUGGGUAAACUGCUCUUCUGGUUACGCUCAUUUUAUUCUACACUGGUUCACACUUUUUUGGAGUUCUUCGUUUCUGUUUCUCCUAAUGGCACCAUGAUAUGCCAUGAUAUUAAUCGAUGAUUAUAUCUAUUAUAUAUUUUUUCAGUCAUUCUGUAACCAACAGACACUAACUUUACCUCCAGUUCUUUUUAGCCCAGUAAGUGUCUCCUAUUGAAUGUAUUGGUGUAAUGUGGGAUCUUCCCUUUUGCCAUGACCUCACUGGGUCUCGCCAUUAAAGGCUCUCCCAUUGGGACCAUGCUUUAUGAAUGCUCGAAUCUCUCCCCUGCCGUUGUUCUUGAACGUUAGUGCCUUUAUCCAGGCCUGGGAUGGGCUACAUGAAAGCAAGUGCGAGGGAAAAAAGAAGAUGAGUUUUAUAGGAGCAUCUUUUAACAUGGCUCUUUGAUAGAGGGGAACUAAAAUGCCGUUGUCUGGACUGAGAGGGUCCAGUGACUGUGUGGAGUCCCUGUUGUCCUCCGAGGUGAGGCAGCCUUCUCACAAUUCCAGCUCAUGCAUGGUUCAGUGAGUGGAGGGAGCGUUAACGGUUCCUCUGGAGCCAUCCCGGUGGUAGCCGGUCAGCGUGGCUGCCCUGAACAUAAUGAAGCUGUUUGGGUCCAUAGACUGCAAGCCUCGAGUUUCUAGAUGACAAGGAUGGGGCCCAUUCAUUCAUGGAGACUGCUUCCGUGUGCAUCCAUAAGGAGUGAAAAAAAAAAGAAAAAAUCCAAGUGAAAACGCCCCCAUUGUGUUAAUGAACAUCUCUGCUCCGAUCGACACAUUGUCUUUGAAGUAGUUCUGUUUCAAGUUGCCGGCAACUGGCCAAUAAACCCAGAUAUUGCUUGUUCGGACUCCUAAA
Long non-coding RNA from Monodelphis domestica (gray short-tailed opossum), 4215 nucleotides. RefSeq lists it as uncharacterized. The record is from RefSeq and is a predicted model, not a curated record. NCBI's taxonomy places the organism in Eukaryota, Metazoa, Chordata, Mammalia, Didelphimorphia, Didelphidae.